AGUGAACGCUGGCGGUAGGCCUAACACAUGCAAGUCGAACGGCAGCACAGAGGAGCUUGCUCCUUGGGUGGCGAGUGGCGGACGGGUGAGGAAUACAUCGGAAUCUACUCUGUCGCGGGGGAUAACGUAGGGAAACUUACGCUAAUACCGCAUACGACCUACGGGUGAAAGCAGGGGAUCUUCGGACCUUGCGCGAUUGAAUGAGCCGAUGUCGGAUUAGCUAGUUGGCGGGGUAAAGGCCCACCAAGGCGACGAUCCGUAGCUGGUCGGAGAGGAGGGUCAGCCACACUGGAACUGAGACACGGUCCAGACUACGACGGGAGGCAGCAGUGGGGAAUAUUGGACAAUGGGCGCAAGCCUGAUCCAGCCAUACCGCGUGGGUGAAGAAGGCCUUCGGGUUGUAAAGCCCUUUUGUUGGGAAAGAAAUCCAUCUGGUUAAUACCCGGGUGGGAUGACGGUACCCAAAGAAUAAGCACCGGCUAACUUCGUGCCAGCAGCCGCCGCAG
Molecule: ribosomal RNA, 506 nt
Filed under: uncultured bacterium
Lineage: Bacteria
Description: partial 16S ribosomal RNA
Rfam family: Bacterial small subunit ribosomal RNA
Source: RNAcentral